This 279-nucleotide ribosomal RNA is filed under the name uncultured bacterium. Its description in RNAcentral is "partial 16S ribosomal RNA". It matches the Rfam family "Bacterial small subunit ribosomal RNA", at positions 506 to 784 of the family's 1533-position model. The record is from RNAcentral.
UGCCAGCCGCCGCGGUAAUAUGAGGGGUCCAUGCGUUAAUCGGAAUCACUGGGCUUAAAGGGUACGUAGGCGGCCCUGUAAGCAUCUCGUGAAAUCCCACGGCUCAACCGUGGAAUUGCGGGGUGAACUACAGGGCUUGAGGCAGGUAGAGGUUGUCGGAACGAUCGGUGGAGCGGUGAAAUGCGUUGAUAUCGAUCGGAACGCCAGUGGCGAAGGCGGCUUACUGGGUCUCUUCUGACGCUGAGGGACGAAAGCGUGGGUAGCAAACCGGAUUAGAUA